Long non-coding RNA from Medicago truncatula (barrel medic), 392 nucleotides. RefSeq lists it as uncharacterized. NCBI's taxonomy places the organism in Eukaryota, Viridiplantae, Streptophyta, Magnoliopsida, Fabales, Fabaceae. The record is from RefSeq and is a predicted model, not a curated record. The transcript is spliced from 2 exons.
AUUUAAUUAUUUCUACAUGACGAUGAACUUUAUUAUACACUAUAAACAAAUCAAGUCAUUUACUAUUAUUUGGAUGCAAAUAGGAAGUAAUAUGGCUGAAACUAUGAAGCUGUAAAACAGAUAAAGAUUGUCCAAAAUUUUAUGGAUCUAAUGUUAGGUGUCGUAAAGGCAAAUGUGUACAAUUGGGAUAAAUGAGUUCUUUCUCUAGCAAGAGAAUUGUACAAUAUACCUCAUGCUAGAAUAUUUCACUUGUUGUCAUUUAGUUUUUGUGCAUGUACUCAAUAAUUAUUUUUCUUCUUCUGUUUUCCCUAAUUCCAUGGACUUUAAAGUUAUGAUUUUGUAAUCUAUGAUGAUGGAAAUGAAAUAAGACAACAAAGAUUAUAUUUAUAAGA